Molecule: long non-coding RNA, 2834 nt
Filed under: Homo sapiens (human)
Lineage: Eukaryota; Metazoa; Chordata; Mammalia; Primates; Hominidae
Description: LNC_000373
Source: RNAcentral
AAGGAAGGGAGGAAGGAAGGAAGGAAGGUCCGUUAAAAAAAUAACAAAAAAUAGGCAAAGGACUUCAAAGGACAUUUCUGCAAAGAAGUUACAUGAAUAACCAACAAGCAUAUGAAAGGAUGCUCAACAUCACUAAUCACUGGAGAAAUGCAAAUCAAAACCACAAUGAGAUAGUUGAGUGUACCCCAUACUCAUUAGGGUGGCCACUAUCUGAAAAAAAACCCAGAAUUCUCUAAUUUUUUAUGGAGAAAUUAGAACACUGUGCACUGCUGGUAGGAAUAUAAAAUGGUGCAGUCCCAGUGAAAAACAGUAUGAAGUUUCCUUUAAAAACAAAAAUAGGGCUGGGAUUACAGGCGUGAGCCACCGCGCCCGGCCAGGCCCCACUUUCAACACUGGGGAUUACAAUUCAACAUGAGAUUUGAGUGGGGACAGAUUCAAACCAUAUCACCAUGCAAUAAUCAAUCUGAAGUUCAAAUUGAAUUGGGUAUUCUGUAUUUUAUCUGGCAACUCUAUUUCAGAAUCACCUCUCUAAAAUGCAAAUCUGAUCUGUUUAAUCUAUUGCUAUCUUAAUGUGACUUCACAGGUAAAUAAUCUUCCUCAAAAGAGACUGUAUUUAUCAGCUGGAAGGAGUAUUUGGGUCAAUUGAAAAAUCAUAUUUCUCAUUUUUGACCAGAGAAUCAGCAUAGUGAAGAGCAUUUUCCCAGCACCAUUUUUUUUUUGGUGUCAUGGGCCAUCCAUACCAUGACUUUUUUCAGUAAGUUUGAGAUCUAUAUUAAAUUAAUUUACUUUUUAAAUUUUGCAUUACACUAAGUAAUGAUAUCCAUGAAAUCACCACUCCAAUGAGCUACUGAUUUUUUAUACCUAUUACAAUAAACACAGGGCUACAAUAAAUUUUUAUUCCUAUGUUAUCUAAAACUUGCACGUACACUCUGGGAAAUACCAAUAGAGGAAGGAGAGCUGUGCUGGCGCUGGUCUGAUCUGACUCAUACUCUACCAUCCCGGAGCCUCAAUCACUGUCUGGUUGGAGAGGAGAAGGCCCUGGUGUGCUGGCAAACCCUGAACUUGACUGGAUUAGAUUAGGAUGAGAGGGACAGGACAGUCAGGCUUCUGAUAAGGAUGGAAAAGUGGGAAUUGGAGUUCAGCCUCCAGGAAUCCUGCAGGCCCCCUGGUAGUGGAGCCAUAUAUGUAUUUGGGGUCCCACUACCAGAGAGGAGAUACAUGGGGACCGGUGAGGGCCAAGAACGUGGCCAGAGGUUGUGGUUGAGGAGUUUAGGACCCCAGAUGAAAAACUCCUGUCUCCAGGGGCUGAAAGCAGAUACUUAAGAAUUCUUCUUGUGGGAUUUGGACACAGACUGUGAUCUACCUGCCUGCACAAUGUCUCAUUGUUCCUGACUUGUUAAGAAAGCUUCUCCUGAUACUUGGUAGCAGUUCAGGUUGAUGUCAGCCCCUGGGCUGUCCAGCAGAAAGAUUUUCCCAGGUUUCUCAGUGGAGACUGGAGCCACCAGAACUGUGACACCCUGAACUUGAACCAACCAGCCAGUCUUGUCAGGUACCUCUGACCCGAAAGGUCAUGCCAAGAGCCCAGAGGCUCUGAUCAUGAUCUCAGCACUUCAUCCACAUAAAGGAGCCCACUGUUGUGUUUCCCAAAUGCUGCAAGGCUCUUUUGCUCCGGGUUUCACUGAUCCGCCCCUCCUUUUAAAAAGACUCUUGGAUUCUGCCAACAUUACUCUAGGCCUCCACUCUCUGCUCACCAAAGCCUAAGCCCUGUGGCCUUAGGGCCGAUAAGUCCUUGGAUACAUUUCCCAGUGUGUUUUUCCUUGGUGGGCCGGUGAGACAAGAGACGAUGGGGGUCUUUACUGUACUCAUGUGACACAUGGCUGUUCUGCAUGCGGCAAGGCAGAGGGGCUGGGAAGGAGGGAGAGUAUGAAGUGUCUGUUUUGUGCCAAGCAUUGAGCUAAGCCAAUUGUCACAAUAAUCCUGGAGGCAGAUACCAUCAUCUUCAGUUUAUAGAUGAGGAAAGCUAAGCUCAGAGAGAUUAAAUAACUGUGAACGGCAGAAAAAACCGAGCCGGAAUUAGACUUCAGAUCUUCUGACCUUAAGUCUGGUGCUCUUUGAGUCAUGCCACCUGAAAUCAAUUUGAGAGAAAGGGCAAUUGUUGGCUCAAUUUUGAUGAAAUAAGAAUUUGAGGGGACACCCUCUGUGUGCCUAAGGAUGAGGCCCAACACAGGGAACAGAAUUCAGGAGACUCUGCAAGGGCAGAACAUACUGGUAACAUGUCCUGCAGGCUUUAACUCCUAUUCUUUUUUCAUGAUUGUUCCACAGUCUUCUUUCCUAAGGACUAUUAUCAGAUCCAUAUACCCAUGUUAGUUAGAGUAAAUGUUAGGCUUCUGUAACAAAUAAACCCAAAAUAUAAUGGCUUAAACUUAAGUUUAUCUCUCUCACAUAAAAUUCCAGGUGAGUGGUUCAGAGCUGGUACACCACAAAAUGUCUUGCUCAGCUCCUAUCAUCACAUCUUGCAUCCCUACCAUCAAGAUGGAGGAGAACAUGCAACUUCUUUUUAAGAGUCUGGCCUUGAGGAUUGCACAUAUCACCUCUACUUAUAUCUCAUGUUGUCCCAAACAAUGACAUGAACAAUUGUAGCUGCAAGGGAAGUUGGGAAAUAGAGUCUUUAUCUGAGUUUCCAUGUACACAGUAAAAAAACUUCUGUUGCUAUAGAAAAGAGAAAAAAAUUGGGGAGAACAUAGAGGAGCCACUACUAUAAUAAUUUUGGAACACUCUUACAUGAAUUGAUAGGCCAUUUAUGUUUUCUUUAAGAAGUCUGGGCCAGGCGUGGU